GACGAGCGCUGGCGGCGUGCUUAACACAUGCCAGUCGAACGGAAAGGCCCUGCUUUUGUGGGGUGCUCGAGUGGCGAACGGGUGAGUAACACGUGAGUAACCUGCCCUUGACUUUGGGAUAACUUCAGGAAACUGGGGCUAAUACCGGAUAGGAGCUCCUGCUGCAUGGUGGGGGUUGGAAAGUUUCGGCGGUUGGGGAUGGACUCGCGGCUUAUCAGCUUGUUGGUGGGGUAGUGGCUUACCAAGGCUUUGACGGGUAGCCGGCCUGAGAGGGUGACCGGCCACAUUGGGACUGAGAUACGGCCCAGACUCCUACGGGAGGCGGCAGUGGGGAAUAUUGCACAAUGGGCGGAAGCCUGAUGCAGCAACGCCGCGUGCGGGAUGACGGCCUUCGGGUUGUAAACCGCUUUCGCCUGUGACGAAGCGUGAGUGACGGUAAUGGGUAAAGAAGCACCGGCUAACUACGUG
Molecule: ribosomal RNA, 468 nt
Filed under: uncultured bacterium
Lineage: Bacteria
Description: partial 16S ribosomal RNA
Rfam family: Bacterial small subunit ribosomal RNA
Source: RNAcentral